This 253-nucleotide ribosomal RNA is filed under the name uncultured bacterium. Its description in RNAcentral is "partial 16S ribosomal RNA". It matches the Rfam family "Bacterial small subunit ribosomal RNA", at positions 524 to 776 of the family's 1533-position model. The record is from RNAcentral.
UACGAAGGGGGCUAGCGUUGCUCGGAAUUAUUGGGCGUAAAGGGCGCGUAGGCGGCGCCACAAGUCACUUGUGAAAACUCUGGGCUCAACCCAGAGCCUGCAGGCGAAACUGUGGUGCUGGAGUAUGGGAGAGGAGCGUGGAAUUCCCAGUGUAGAGGUGAAAUUCGUAGAUAUUGGGAAGAACACCGGUGGCGAAGGCGGCGCUCUGGACCGAGACUGACGCUGAGGCGCGAAAGCGUGGGGAGCAAACAGG